AGCAGCCGCGGUAAUUCCAGCUCCAAUAGCGUAUAUUAAAGUUGUUGCAGUUAAAAAGCUCGUAGUUGAAUUUCGGGGUUAGUAGGUUGGUCGUGCCACUGGUACGUACUGGUCUCACUGAUUCCUCCUUCCUGAUGAACUGUAAUGCCAUUAAUUUGGUGUUGCAGGGAAACUGGACUGUUACUUUGAAAAAAUUAGAGUGUUUAAAGCAAGCUAACGCUUGAAUACAUUAGCAUGGAAUAAUGAAAUAGGACGUUCGAUCCUAUUUUGUUGGUUUCUAGGAUUGACGUAAUGAUUAAUAGGGAUAGUUGGGGGCAUUAGUAUUCAAUUGUCAGAGGUGAAAUUCUUGGAUUUAUUGAAGACUAACUACUGCGAAAGCAUUUGCCAAGGAUGUUUUCAUUAAUCAAGAACGAAAGUUAGGGGAUCGAAGACGAUCAGAUACCGUCGUAGUCUUAACCAUAAACUAUGCCGACUAGGGAUCGGAUGAUGUUAAUUUUUUAAUGACUCAUUCGGCGCCUUA
RNAcentral lists this non-coding RNA (520 nucleotides) under uncultured Glomus. RNAcentral describes it as "SSU rRNA". It matches the Rfam family "Eukaryotic small subunit ribosomal RNA", at positions 569 to 1090 of the family's 1831-position model. RNAcentral also lists the same sequence under 1 other name. Lineage: Eukaryota; Fungi; Glomeromycota; Glomeromycetes; Glomerales; Glomeraceae. The record is from RNAcentral.